Bos taurus (domestic cattle) is the source of this 1297-nucleotide long non-coding RNA. The record is from Ensembl. NCBI's taxonomy places the organism in Eukaryota, Metazoa, Chordata, Mammalia, Artiodactyla, Bovidae.
GAAUUAGCUUUCACAAUCACGGAAGCCAAGAAGACCUACAGUUAUCUGCCAGCCAGAGACCCAGAAGAGCCAGUGCUGUACUUCAGUCUGAAGUUCUGAGUCUGAGGUCUGAGAACUGGGGGAGCCGAUGGUGUAAGCCCUAGUCCAAGGGCAGGAGAAGAUAAGUCCCAGCUAAGCCGUGAGGCAGGGAAUAGGGUCAGGUUCUUCCUUCCUGCAUCUAUUCUUCUAUCCCAGCCAUGAAUGGAUUGGAUGAUUUUGUACCCACAUCAGGGAGAGAAUCUGCUUCACAGGGUCCAUGGAUUCAAGUGCCAAUGUCUCCAAAAACUCCCUCCCAGACAUCCCCAGAAAUGAUCUGGGGAUGAUCUCGGUACCUCGUGACCAGAAACUUGGACUCAGCUGUGUCCAGUUUGAGCUGGUUGAGACUGGCUAGGACAACGGACCCUCCCACUGGGCAUGUGGCAGUGUCCUCUCUGUGACCUUUGAUGUCAGAGGGCCAGGAGCUCCACCCUCAAAACAUGGCAACACCACAAGUUCUGGGCAUGCAGGCCUGGUUAUGUCUGCACAGAACGAUGAUGAUCACAGCUUUUCCUUAUUCCCACUUACCUUUCCCCAGGCUCCACACACAUUACAGCUCCAUCCCAUAAUUAUCCCAAGCCCCUCUCUUUCGGAGAGGUGGGUUUGGGAUCAGUUCUCCCAUCUCCUCUCUUGGCUGCAGUGUGAAUAAAGUCUUUGCUGCCAACCUCAGUGUCUUAGCCCUUGGCUUGCUGCACAUUGGGAAGGGAUGCCUGUAUGCUCAGUCUCUCAGUCGUGUUCCACUCUUUGCAACCCAUGGACUUUAGCCAAUCAGACUCUUCUCUCUAUGGGAUUUCCCAGGAAGAAAUCAGGCUUCCGGAGACAGCUGUCAUUAAUUGAAGUUAGGUCACACUGCAUCACAAACCUUCACCCCAGAACACUGAGUGCAAUAUUCUGGAUCGUAUCAGCUGCCUGUGUAGGACCCAUUCCUUCCAUGACGAAAUGUAUUUAAUUUGAUUUCUGAGUAUGAAUGACACACCUGUGAGAUAGAGUUUGGAAUUCAGUCUGCUCAUUUAACUGUAAAGAAAUACUCUAUUUGGUUCAAAAGUCAUCUUUUGGUUAUAAUAAUACUUGCCCCCUCAUCCGUAGUUCCUUCCUUCCUCCAUCCACUCACCCAUUAAUCCAUUAAUUUAUUCAAUAUUUAUUGUUCCUCUACAAUUGUAUGUGCUAUACAACCUUGUGAUGUUUUAGUUCAGAAAUACUGAAUAGGAAAUAAACUUUUCUC